Molecule: long non-coding RNA, 1193 nt
Filed under: Olea europaea subsp. europaea
Lineage: Eukaryota; Viridiplantae; Streptophyta; Magnoliopsida; Lamiales; Oleaceae
Source: RNAcentral
UUCACAUUCACAGCCACCCAAAUGAACACCAAACUCAACAGCACAAUAAACACCAAAAUUAACACCACCAUCUAAAGGACAAAUACUAAAUUCUCAUUAAUAUUGGUGAAUCAGAUUAUAGUGUCUUCCCACAUACAAAAGUGAAAAACACUACUUAGGACUACUAAUUCACCACUGCAACAUUCUUUCCUCAAUUUUACAAUCAUCCAACUGAACUCCAACUACACAUACACAACACACUGCACUUAAAAGAAUGAAUACUACACAUCACAAGUGGUAGGGAGGGAAACUAACAACAAAAUAACAGGACCAAGAGAAUUUAUGCUCUCCAAAAGAAGGGCAGUCACAACAAGACAGUGUAGCCACCACUUGCAGUUUGAUGUUUUCUCUCUGCAAGGCCGAGCAAGCUCCUCAACUACCACAGCACAAAUUUUUUAAAUUCUCCAACAGCUGCAGGUGACUUUUACCAAUUCUAUGGCAGCUCGAUCUCUCUCCACCUAAAUUAAUACCAUCUCCUAUGACAACUUCAAUUCCACUAGCAUCCAUUUCAUGAUAACGGGAUCGUGCAAUAACUCCUGAACAAAUCCACUAGCUACUUUUUUGUUUGAAGCAUUAGAUAAGUCAAGCAUAUUACCAAGAAGUAGCAGUUGUCGAGACGCAAAACGAUAAUUUGGUCCUGUAAAAAUCAAGUGGUAUUGUUCACAAUUGAGUGCGGUGCUCUGCCUAAAGGUGCUGAGUCCAGAAUAUCAAAAGGUGCUAACUUUUUCGAAGUCCAAAACAACCCACAUUCACACGUCAGGAAUUCAACUCCACAUCAGAACAACCCACCUUUGCAGGCCAGGAAUUCAAAUGGUGGUGCUCUGUGUGCUGACUUUUUCAACUCAGCUCCUUUCUGGUCUUCGAACUCGACUUCAAAGUGAAAACGAAAGAAGUUUUAGACAUUCAAAUUUUCACCGACGAUGGAAUCUGGACAUCGAACUCGAUUUUCACCUCCAAGGGUUUCCGUUGUUGGAAAGAUUUGGGGACAAUCUAUUUGAAGGAAGGGUCCAGAUUUGGGGAAUUGAAAUGAGGGUUCCCCUCUACCAUUAAAUAAUUGGGCCGGUCUAGUUUUGACCCAACUUGUUUUAAAAAUUUGAAAUCCCCACCUCCAAUUCCUUGUUUCAAAAUUCAAAAGAUUUUUAUUCAAAUUCUCG